This is an RNA transcript of Portunus trituberculatus (swimming crab), 11449 nucleotides long. It is a transcript of the gene named rho-associated protein kinase 2-like, with no coding region annotated. The record is from RefSeq and is a predicted model, not a curated record. NCBI's taxonomy places the organism in Eukaryota, Metazoa, Arthropoda, Malacostraca, Decapoda, Portunidae. The transcript has 28 exons.
GGUGCAUUGUGGGCCAAGUUACUUUUCGGCCAUAUUUAUGUGGGACUUUUGCGAAGGAUGGCUUGUUGUUAUUUAAUAUUUUGUACCCUACCAAAGCCUCUCUGUUGAUAUCGAGCCGAGCAUACCACCUGAGCUGUGGAUGAUGUGACAGGGAGGGCGACAGGGAUGGAGGCAAUCACGGACAGUGACCGGCUACAACGACUCCGGGAACUAGAAGCUCAUUUGAGAGACCCACGAGGAGUCAUCAAUGUCGACUCACUGUUGGAUGCAGUUCAGGCGAUGGUCGCAGAUUGCGACCAUCAGGCCAUCAAGAGAAACAAAAAUGUGGAGGCUUUCCUUAAUAGAUAUCGGGAGUCCAUACAGGACGUGGAGCUAUUACGGAUGCGGGCAGAUGAUUUUACAAAUGUCAAAGUUAUAGGAAGAGGAGCAUUUGGAGAAGUACAACUUGUAAGACACAGAUCCACACAAAAGGUGUAUGCAAUGAAGCUCCUGAGUAAAUUUGAAAUGAUAAAACGCUCAGAUUCGGCAUUCUUCUGGGAGGAACGAGACAUUAUGGCUCAUGCUAAUUCAGAGUGGAUAGUACAGCUUCACUUUGCCUUUCAAGACUCAAAGUUUUUGUACAUGGUAAUGGAUUAUAUGCCAGGUGGCGAUCUAGUGAAUCUUAUGUCCAACUAUGAUGUCCCAGAAAAAUGGGCAAAGUUCUUUUGUGCAGAGGUAGUUUUAGCACUUGAUGCAAUCCACUCCAUGGGUUUUGUACACAGAGAUGUAAAGCCAGACAACAUGCUCCUGGACAGCAGUGGACAUCUUAAGCUGGCUGACUUUGGUACCUGUAUGAAGAUGAACAAGGAUGGAUUGGUAAGAUCUGACACAGCUGUUGGAACUCCAGACUACAUAUCUCCAGAAGUCCUCAAAUCUCAGGGUGGUGAAGGUGUGUAUGGUCGUGAAUGUGACUGGUGGUCUGUGGGGGUCUUCCUGUACGAAAUGCUUGUGGGAGACACUCCAUUCUAUGCUGACUCUCUAGUUGGGACCUAUGGAAAGAUCAUGGAUCACAAGAAUUCCCUCAAGUUUCCAGAAGACAUUGAGAUAUCUGCUGAAGCCAAGAGUCUCAUCUGUGGUUUUCUGACUGAUCGGGAGACACGAUUGGGCGGCAAAGGUGUGGAUGAAAUCAAGCAGCAUCGUUUUUUUAUAAAUGACCAAUGGACCUUUGACACCAUAAGGGAAUGUGUGCCUCCAGUUGUACCAGAUCUAACGAGUGAUGAUGACACCAGUAACUUUGAUGAAGUGGAAAAUGAAGACACACCAGAAGAAAGUUUUACUGUCCCAAAGGCUUUUGUUGGGAACCACCUUCCUUUUGUGGGGUUUACUUACUCCAAAGAUUAUAGACUGUUAAGUUCACCAGAUAAACCAGAUGGGAAAAGAAAUUUGACCAAUGAUGGUUCUGAAGCCAGUCACCAAAUAGCUGUUCUGAGUGCAGAAGUAGAACACCAGAAGAACCAGGUGGAAGAGCUUGAUGGAAAGUACAGAGUGACACUGAGUCAGUUGGAUGCCCUCACUCGCAGAGACCAGGAACGACAGCAUGAGAAGAGGGAUCUGGAGAAAAGACUUGCACUUCUGCAACAUGAUUUGAAGGAAGCUCAGAGGAAGGCAGACUAUGAGAGUGAUAGCCGCAAGAAGCUUGAUGGGCUCUACCAGGAGGUGAAGAAGAAACUUGAAGAUGAACAGAAUAAAAGAACACGGGAUCAUAAUUCAGCAAUUGCCGUUAAUGAAAAGCUUUAUGGUCUGGAAAAACAGUUGAAAGAAGUCCAGGACAAAUUAAAAUCAGAAUCAGACAACCACUCAAGACUUCGCAAGCAACAUGCUGAGCUUGUGGUAACCAGCCAGAGAAAAGAGGCAUCUCUGACAGAUUACACAGAAAAGUUUGCAACAGUUCAGGCAAUGAGAGAUGGUCUGGAGCGAGAUUUGGUCAACUUGCAAACACAGCUUGAUCAAGAAAGAACACACAAAAAUCAUCAAGCUGAUCUUGUAACCCAGGCGGAAAGCAAAGUUCAAGCUUUGCAAGCCAAGCUUGAUAGUGCUUUUGAGAGAGAAGCAGUUGCUCGUAAGGAAGCUGAGAAAGUAUCUGAGAGACUUGUGCAGCUGGAAAAAGACAGAAAUUCCUUGGAAUUGGAGCUUCGGGGCAUGACAAGUCGGUAUGAACAGGAAGCAAGAGCAUUGCGUGAAGCCAGCAGUGCUGCUCCUACCCAUAAUUAUCAGUCCAGUGCUCAGGCCCUUGCAGCCCUGCAAGAACGUUUGAAUGCAGAAAAACAGAAGCGUCAACAAGCAGAGGCAUCUAGUCAAGAAAAGGAACGCCAAAAUUCAAUGCUGAGUGUUGAUUAUAGACAACUACAGCAGCAGCUUCACAAAUUGGAAGGAGAAUACAGACAAGAAUGUGAAAAGGUGAAAGCCUUGCAGAAGCAGUUAGAGUCAGAGACAGAAAAGAGAACAUCUCUAGCCAGUGACCUUCAGGCCCAGAUGUCAGAGCUUUCCCUCAUGCGGACAAGGGAAAAAUUGCUUAUACGGGAUUUAGAAGAAGCAAAAGAGGCACGUUCCAGUUUAGAAAAAGAGUUGCAUAAACUUGAAGCACAGAAGUCUGUUGAUGAUGUGCAGAUGAAGGAGCUGAAUGACACUUUGGAAGCUGAACAGUACUUUUCUACACUCUAUAAGACUCAGGUAAGAGAGCUACGUGAGGAGGUAGAUGAAAAGAGCAGACAAGUUGUUGAACUAGAAGAAGAACGUACCAGUCUCACUCACCAACUACAGCUAGCAGUAGGAAGGGCUGACUCAGAAGCUCUUGCUCGCUCCAUUGCUGAGGAAACUGUUGCAGAAUUAGAAAAGGAGAAGACAGUGAAAGAGCUGGAAAUCAAUGAUCUCAUCUCCAGACAUUCUGCAGAGGUUGCAGAGAAGGAUUCUGCUCUAAAUGCUGUAAAGGAACGUGAACAGGAACUUAGUAAGUCGUUAGAAUCAUUGAAGCAAGAAAAGGAUUCCCUCAAUACACAAAUUCAGAUGUUGGAAGAUGAGAAAAAGAAAGCAAAUAAUGAACGUCAAGAUAAACUGGACAAAUUAGAUAGGCAGCUGAAGACAGAACAGCUCUUGAAGAUGCAGGCUGUCAACAAACUGGCAGAAAUAAUGGCUCGCAGAGAAAACCUUCCUGCUAAUCGGAAACCGAAGGCAUCUGCUAGUGACUUGAGAAGGAAGGAGAAGGAAUGUAGGAAAUUACAACAAGAAUUAACUUUGGAACGUGAUAAGUUCUCCCAGACGGUGGUGAAACAUCAGAAGGAAGUGCAGGAUCUUCAAGCCCUUCUAUAUGAAGAGAAUCAAGCAAGAGUGAGAUUGCAAAUGGAGGUUGAUUCCAAGGACUCUGAAAUUGAAUCUCUCCACCGCACAAUUGCAAACCUCAAUAGUGAAACUGCUUCACUCAGCAGUGGCGCUGAUAAUGAUAUUGAUGAAUUAGAUUCCCGGUUAGAGGGCUGGCUGUCCAUUCCUAAUAAACAAAACAUAAAGCGACAUGGCUGGCGGCGGCAGUAUGUGGUGGUAUCUUCAAGAAAAAUCAUUUUCUAUAACUCGGAAAAUGAUAAGCAGAACUCUGAUCCAAUUCUCAUUCUGGACUUAACAAAAGUUUUCCAUGUCCGGUCAGUAACACAAGGUGAUGUAAUAAGAGCCGAAGUUAAAGACAUCCCUAGAAUAUUCCAGUUACUGUAUGCUGGAGAAGGAGAAAGUCGAAAACCUGGUGAUAACCCUGGUCCCCUGCCUCUACAUGAGAGUGCAGGGCCAGAUAAGGCAGGUACUCUAGUCCACAAAGGCCAUGAAUUCUUGGCCAUAACCUUUCAUAUGCCUACAAAUUGUGAAGUCUGUCAGCGACACCUUUGGCAUAUGUUCAAGCCACCACCAGCCCUCGAGUGCAAACGUUGCCGAUUCAAGAUUCAUAGAGAACAUCUGGAUCGGAAAGAGGAUGUGGUGGCCCCUUGUAAAGUUAACUAUGAUAUGAACACUGCCAAGGAGUUGCUGUUAUUAGCUUCCUCAGUUGAAUCACAACAGAAUUGGGUCACAAGAUUAUCCAAGAAGAUUCAGAAGUCCGGGUACAAGGCCCAGCACACCACUAGUUCUGAUGGUGCCAAAAUUUCCCCAAGAAUGUAAAAGCCUUUAGGACUAGCUGCUUCCAGCAACACGUAUAUGAGGAACAUUUACCAUUAUCAAGAGAAUCAACGAGAUCAUCUUAUCGGCCAUAUGUUGUACAGAAGUCUGCAACUUUGCCCCCAAACUCUAAUUUGAUUAGAAAAUAAGAGGUUUGAUUUCUUAUAUAGAAAAUAUUAUUGUGACUAAGGAUUUCUAUUCCUAAAUAAUUAUAUAUUUUUUUCCUUUCAAAUGAUUUAUUUAAAUCAUUUUAGGAAAAAAUAAUAAUUUAACUUUUACUCCAGAAACACUGAAAGAUUAAAAGGAAGUAACAUUUACUUUGGGUACUGUGUAAACCAGGAACCUUUAUUGCAGCAAUAUGUUAGCUUCCUGGGGACUUGUGCCUUAUGAAAUCCUGAAUCUACCUUUCUUCCUUCCUUCCUUCCUUCCUUCCUUCCUCUAUGUACAUUACUCUGUGUAGGGACUAGGAAAGUGUCCCAUGGUGACACAGUUACAAUAAUAUUUUUGUGAAACACAUCAAUAAAUGUGAAUAAGAUUUUUUUGGUACAAGCCAAUUUUAUAUGUUUAUAGACUAUGUAACAUGUCAAUGCUUCCAGUGUACAUGUAUAAGUUUCCUUCUUUAUCGUCCAUUAUGGUUAGACUUGUAUUAUCGAUGCAAACAUAAAGUAAUUGCAUUUGUGAUUUAUGUGUGAUUGACAAAAUGUUUAGCUGUAUGCUGUUCAGUCAAGGUGAUUUAUAAUGUUAACAAGUAAGUUGUGCAACACCUUGGUCACUUGACAGUUGUAUGUAAUAAGUAAGUCCAGUUUUGAAGGAAGAGGGACGGAGCACACCUUGAUGAACUGUUUUGCGGCUAAGUAUAUUUUGUACAUAAUGAUGCGUAAGAGUGGCUGUGUGAAUGUGUGAUGAAGUCAAGAAUGUUGAGGAAGGCUAAGAAUUUUAAGGAUAUUUCAAAACUGAAUGUCAUACUGAUAAGCCCAGAAACUGAAAUGAGUAAUAGAAUUAGAUUGAAUCUGGUCCAAAGCUUUGAAAUUGUAUUUAACUGAAUAAUUUACAUGUUCAUUGUUGUUUCUUUUUUUGUUAAUUUGGGUUCAGAUCAUCCAAAUUAGAAGAAAAGCCUCCCAAAUUAUUUAUCUCUAGCAUCUCAACCACAUGAAUGGUUAUCAGCAUUGCAGUGAAGUGUGAGGUAUAAUUACCAUUUAUAUGAAAAAUGGGUCUAGUCUGAAUUGGUGUGGAAAAUAUGAUAAUUAAUUUUCAUUGAAUCUUUCUCAUCCCCUCCUAUUGACUUCAUAGACACUUGAUCUACUAACAUAGCUCUCAAUGUAAUCAUCUCUUUUGACAAUGAAUUGAGUAUGAUAUGCAUGGUGAUAAUACAGUUCAUAUAUUCCACAUUAAUCAUAAAGCUUUUCCUUUUAACAAGACAUUUCAGGGUUUAUCAGUGAAACCAAUUUUUUGCUGCAUCUGUUAUAAAGUUACAAAAUUAUUUAAAUAAUAUGAUUUUUUAAAAUUAUUAUUUAUUUAAUCCCAGUUCAUGAUUCCCAAAUGGCCAUUUCUUAUAUUUCUGUUCCUUUUACCAGACUAUUUUCUUUUUCAAGACAAAGCAAGAUCAAAAGUAUUAAGAAACUAGAUAAAUACCAGAUAUGCGAGAAAAAUUUAUUUUCUUAUAAACAUAUAUCAGAAUUUGUAUGAUUGAAUUUGACAUAACCUGGAGGAUCCUGUUUUUACCAAGAACUGAAGAGUGGUGAGCUUGGCGAGAAGAAAGUGAUGUGCUUAACAAUGUAAAAUUCUUUGAAUGAGGCUGUUCCUAACAUUGCUCAAUUAAUGUCCCAUCCUUGUAAUUUGUCAUAUGUCAGCAGAACAAACUAAACUAUAACUGAACCUUUGUCUCACUCAUGUCACCAAGAAUGCCUUGAUUACCAUUUGUUGAGCUUCCAUAGUAUAAUAUAUGCAGAAUUAUUUCAGCUUUGGCAUUGUGUAACUUUUUGCAUAUAACAAUGGAAAUCAUCUGGUCUCAGGUAUUGGAAUCAAAGCAACACUGUUUCAAAUUUCACAUGCUCUUUUUCUUCAGUCUAAAACUCAAUUUUUUAUACAUUAUUUAUUUAUUUAUAUAUUUGUUUAUUUUUAGAAAUGGUGUGCAGAACGUCUAUUUGACAUAUCAAAUAUGUAAUUAUAUAUCUUGACCAGUCUAGUGUUCUGUCUUGGUAAGGUUGAGGUGUUCCUCAGUUAUUAUAGAUUCACUUAUGGUAUAUUGAUACUUUGGAAGAAAGGUUUAGGUACUCAAGGUAUUUGUACCUAUAUCAAAAGUGAUACUUAACUACAAAUUUAUAUACAGAAAUCAAGAAAAUUGCUCACAAAUAAUUUUAUGAAGUGAAGUAGCUGAGUGCUUAUUAAAAUCAUGUUAUCUGUAAUGUUAUCAUUGUGAAGUAACUUUCAAUGAAAAUUUCCAUAAAGCUAUGCAUACAUCUACCACAAAUGCAGUGGUUUUUAGUAUGCAUAUUUUUAUUAAGAAAAAAAAAAAAUCCCGUGAUGAAAAGUAUGGUAUAAGCAGAAAUGAUCUUUAUCAGUAGCAACACAAAAUAUUUUCAAAACACAAGGUCAGGAAGUUUACCUCAGGAUUGUGUUCACAGCUACAUUUUUUUUUUUUUUUUUUUUUCAUUAUAAUUGUAAUUAUAUUUAGAAAAUCAAGCUCACUUGUAAAUAGUGAAGCAGAUUAUGUUUUAAACUAAUAUGGUUUCUUCAUAAUGAUGAGUAAUUGCUUUAAAUGAAAGUAACAAAAAUAGAAAUUUAAUGAAAAGCAGCACUGUUGGUUCCUUGUAUAUAACAAAACUAUCACAGAAUAUUACUAAUCCACAAACAAUUGAGAUUCAUAGGUGCUAUGUUGGUGGAUGAAAGGAUUCUGCUAUAUACUUCUAUAUAUUGAUGAAAAGUAAGUGCAUUGUGUGGCAUCAUAUCAGCAGUGGUUUAUGAGAUGAUUCUAGAAUGAGCUUGGCUCAAGCUUGACACCAUUUUGUAGGAAUACUUGAGAGUAUAGGUAAUACUUAUUGAAGACAGAAUCUCGAGCAGAACUAAGGUAUGUGAAGAAUGUGCCUGACAAAACCUCAACUAAAGUAGCUUGUCAAUAAUACAAAUUGGGUGGCUCACAGUACCUAGUCCUGAGGCAAAUCUAAACAUUUUCUGUUGUCACUGAGUAAGUGCACAUGUGCAUGUAGUAUAUGGAAAUUAUAGAAUUAUAACAUUCCUUGUAUUUCACUUUGGAUUGUACCAUGUGUUACAUUUGUAUGUGUUUGUAUGCAAAUGUAGAUACUUUAUGGCUAUAAUGUCGCACUAUGGGAUGUGUAGAAUGCACUCCUGUUUUAUCUGUUGAUAUAAGUAUUCAUUAUAUGCAAAUUUACAGUAUGCAUGGGUUAUAUUGAGUGUAAUCCACACAUUAAGAUAGAAGCUGACACAUUGAUAUAAAACACAGAGCAUGAGUAGUUUUCCAGCUGGUGCAAGAGACUGGUAAUGUUAAAAGUGAUCUCAGAGAAUAGAAUUUCCAACUCAACAUGUGGAAGGUAAGAAACUGGAGUUUUUAGACUUAAAAAAGAAAAAAAAAAAGUAUUAUGACAAUAAAAUCUGAACUUUUAGGUAAAACUCUAAUAGGUGUACAAUUGUCCUAAAGAGAUGCUACAUUCAAAAUAUAGUGUGAUGUCUAAUAUAUAUUGAUAAUAUAGGUGAUGCAGACAUUCUGAGAAUGCUGAAAUAUUAUUUUUUUUUUUAUUUAUUUUUUUUUAUGUUUAUACCAUUUACUGUUAUUAUUGCAGGUUUAUUAUUUUUCAUAUACAAAAAAUCUGUUUGUGCAAAUAUCUCCUCUUUUUGUUUAUUGAUCACUGUUAAUAAUCUUCGCACUGAGAUCUAUUUUACUAUCUUACAUUAUUCUACUGCUGUAAAAACAACUAUAAAUUUAUUGUUUUUAUUCAUAAAUCCAUAACUAUACAUGACAACAAAUCUGGAGAUACAAAAAGAGAAAAUACUUCAAUUCUACCAAUUAUAUGCCUAUUAUAUGCCUACUUUCCAUCACACUAUAAUGUUUACUUUAUUUUUAUAGUAAUCAGGUUUCUUAAAUUGUUUCUUAAAGGAAUAAAGUAAUCAUGAUACCAAUUUUUUGUAUAUAAAUUUAAUGAAAAAUGUAUAAUUAUGUAUUUAUGUAUGUUAGUGUGCCAAGUUACUCAGUUCAUGAAAUAACACAUGUGCUGUUCUUUACUACAGUAUUUAUACUUGUAUAACAGAAUCCCUCAGCCUGUAAAGUCCUUUCAGUUUUGCUGAACUGUAGAUAUUGUUAUGGCUUCAGUUUCAUACAAUGUAGUGAUUGCUCAUGUCAUCUCAGAGUUGUUGAUUAUUUUGAUGCCAAUAACAUAACGACAAAAGCCUUGAUAAAAUUUGGAAAAAUGUAAUUGGUUUUGUUUUAACUUGUGCAGCAUCAAUAUAUGAUGUACUAACUGCGAGAAAUGCUCUGUUUAUCAACGCACAUGCUAUAAGUACUUUGCUUCUUGGUAACAGGAUUCUAAUUUUGAAUUUGGAACAGUACAUCAUCCUUCCCUUUAGGCACUUUAGUCCACCACUACCCUCAUCUCAUUGUUCUACCUCACCACACUUUGCAACCCUCAACUCCAACUUAGGUCCUUACUACACUACUUCACUGUUCUUGCCCAUACUUCUACAUCCUCACCUCAAUAUCAUAACUCCUACCUUCUUCCUGUCUUUUCCAUCAUCUCUGGCAUGUAAGAAACAACUUUUGAUUUUUUUAAAAUUUGUUAUUAACAUCAGUUUUGCAUCACCAGUAGAUUCUGGAAAAAGAGAAACAUAGUCUUUCCAUAAUGUGUAAUGGUUAGUUGGGAGAUAUACGUGACAAGUUAGGGAGGCAUUAUGAGUUAAAAGGCUGUCCAGAGGGUUCACAUCACUAUCUAGUUCCCCUUCUGUACACUAUGGUAGGAGUAUAAGAAUUUUUGCAGUGGAUUUUUGUAAGAUUUAGUGUAUCUGCUAGUUUCUGCUAAACAUAAAGAUUACAGAACCUGGCUGGUACUGGUGUAUUGAUAUAGGCUGAUGCUGCACAGGUUAUUGAAAGCCCAUCUUCCACAAACUUUGUUUGCUACUAAAGAAUGGUUUUCCCACUGAUUUCCCCUUAAAAAAAUAAUGAUCAAUAAAUAAUAAGAAAGUAAAAUAUAUAUAAGCAAACCUACUAUAGACUGCUAACUAAUGCAAAUCCACAGAUGCUGCAGUGAGUCCAUGCUUUCAUAAUGGGUUUGGUGUCCAUCCCAUGGCCAGUUGUAUGAAAUCUCAGUAUGGGGAACUUUCUUACAUAAGUUUGUUUCAUUGUGUGUGGCUGUGUGUGUGCAUGUGUGCGUGAAUGCAGGUGUGUGCAUUAUAUGUGUUUCAGAACACAUAUAAUACAUUAUGGGAACAUUUAUCAUAAUUUUGUAUGGAAAUUACAAAUUUGUGAUCAAAAUUUAUUUCAUAAAUUUCCUAACUUAUAUUAUUUGUUUAAGGUGUCCCCUAACAACAAAUUUUAUCUGUGUUUUUGUAUAUUUUAUUUAAAAAAAACCCCAGCUCACUGCUGGACCAGCACAUGCCAUAUUCAGUGAAAUAUUUAUGAUAUUUUGAAGAAAUUAAAGUUUUGCAAAUUAUUUUGCAGUUCUAGUUAAAUUUUUUGAUGUAUUUUCUGCUUUAUGUGUUUGUUGAUCAUUAGAUUUUAACAAUAUGUUAAUAGAAUGAUUACAAUAGAGGGACAGGUUUUAGGCAGCAUUGAACUGUUCUUUAAAAGCUAUUGUUGCAAGAAACCUAAAAUUCAUCUAUCACGAUCACAUACACAGUAGCUUCUUAAAAGAAUCUAUUAGUUUACGCUAUUGAUUUUUUUUUUUUUUUUUUUUUUUUUUUUUUUUUUUCCAAUAUAUUUUAUUAUUUUUUAUUUAUUUGUUACUUUCUAAUAUUACUCAGAUCUUCUAAUAUCAUGAAGUACAUCUUAAGAUUUUUACUUGUAGUGUCCUGUGUUAAAUAAAAGCUUUGUAUAUGGCUUGUAUAAUACUGAAACUUUUGUAACAAAAGUUAGAUAACACUCAGUGACUAGCAUUUAAGGGAGAGAAUCCCAAUUCCAGCCUGUUGCCUCAGUAUUCAGAAAUGGUCACCACCACUACAGGGUUACCAUUGUUACAGUUACUGUGAGGUUUGCUGCAAUGAAACUCAAAAUAAGUUUUUCUCUUUAAAUAUAUGACAUGCCUAUUUAUAUAUGCCUACCAUAGUUGUAGUUACACAAAUUGCCUUGCAUGUUUCAGAGUCAUUAUGUAGCAAGUGAAUGUUGAAAUGUUUUUUUCAUUCAUGGCCCAUGUUCUUUUCAUUGUAAAAUAACAUUUUAUGGCAGCAGGCAGGAUCCCUUUAGUGCCUGAGGACACCGUGUGAUUAUUAAUGCUUUGCAACAUCACAGCUCUGCAGGAAUAUUGAAAGCUUGAUGUUUCUUUUAAUAUUGAUUGGCUUUACAUAUGUGCCAAUUACUUGUUAUCUUGAAGAUUGCUAUCACUAUUGAUAUAAUGUACCUUUCUUGAUUUCAAUUUGUUUGUUUUUUAUCAACUACUUUCAAGCAGGCAGUGAUUCACCCAUAUAUUACCAUUCAUGCAUUAUAGAACAUUGUGCAUUUUUAGAUGUGCUGCAUUGCUGUGGAGCUGUGAAGUUUGACCAAUGCACAGCUAUCCUGGCUACCUCAUGAGGAGGUGAGCAGGUAAACACCCCAGCAGAGUGAAGGUUGUGUCAGCUGUUGUGUACAAACAUAGGUUUACCCUACUCCAGGACUGAGAUCCCUUGUAGGCAUGUGGCAGACCUGUCAAUUGCUUGCAUACAAUGGACUACAAAGCUGAGCUUUUUUCCAAAAUGUGAGACAUCUCAAAUGUAGGUACUCAGUCCAAAAUCCAUGAAAUGCAUCUGUGUUGAAGUUUUAGUGGCAUGUUAUCAUUACAAUAAUGAAUAAUGAAAUUAUAAAAGUUUAGGUCAUCUUAAAGAUUGUUCCCAUUAAAGGAAAAUCUCAGGCAGCCACAUGCCAAUAAGCUAUGAAAUGAGGUCCUCAGGUUGUUUCCUGCAUUAAAAGAUUUAGCUGUGGCUUGUCUACACAUCAUGGUGGGGUCAGGAUGGCUCUCUACUCCUUAUUCCAUGUGUUUCUUUUUAUGUUGUGUUGGAGUUAACAUGUACAAUCCAGUCACUAUUACAUUGUUCCUUAUUAUUGCAUAUAAUUACUGUAAAGUUAAUAAAAGACAUGAACUUA